Molecule: ribosomal RNA, 652 nt
Filed under: uncultured fungus
Lineage: Eukaryota; Fungi
Description: eukaryotic LSU rRNA
Rfam family: Eukaryotic large subunit ribosomal RNA
Source: RNAcentral
CCCGCUGAACUUAAGCAUAUCAGUAAGCGGAGGAAAAGAAACUAACAAGGAUUCCCUUAGUAACGGCGAGUGAAGUGGGAAAAGCUCAAAUUUUAAAUCUGGCACCUUUGGUGUCCGAAUUGUAUUUGAUAGUGCUUUCUUGUGGCAAGCAUGAUGGCUUAAGUCUCUUGGAAAAGGGCAUCAUAGAGGGUGACAAUCCCGUCUAGGUCAUCAUUGUGAGUCAAUAUCAAGGAAGCUCGACGAGUCAGGUUGCUUGGGAAUGCGGCCCAAAAUGGGAGGUACAUUUCUCCUAAAGCUAAAUAUUGGCAAGAGACCGAUAGCGAACAAGUACCGUGAGGGAAAGAUGAAAAGAACUUUGAAAAGAGAGUUAAACAGUACGUGAAAUUGUUAAAAGGGAAACGAUUGAGAUCAGUGAUGUUCCUUCUGUUUCAGCUUGACCGUUUACGGUCUGGUGUAUUACGGAAGGAACAGGUCGACUCCCAUUGUUAGGUCUGGACAAGGCUUGCGGAAAUGUGGCUUCACCUUCGGGUGACGGCUUUAUAGUCCGCUUGAGAUACAGACUUGACGAUGGGCGAAAGGAACUACCUUUCCCGAGGACGGUAACCCGUUCAAGUCGACAAAAUGGUCUUAACCGACCCGUCUUGAAACACGG